Pseudophryne corroboree (corroboree frog) is the source of this 948-nucleotide long non-coding RNA. RefSeq lists it as uncharacterized. The transcript is spliced from 5 exons. NCBI's taxonomy places the organism in Eukaryota, Metazoa, Chordata, Amphibia, Anura, Myobatrachidae. The record is from RefSeq and is a predicted model, not a curated record.
GAUCGUGCUGUUGUGGUGCCGGGCGGCAGUGAGGAUGCGGAACAAGUGAGUUCAUUACAGCGAGGGGGGGAGGAGAAAACUACAUGGAGCAAAGGGCAGCGCCGGCCAGUGGGAGGAGAGCAGUUGGAGAAGACAACGGUAGAGCAGAGAGGGGAGAUUCUGCAGCAGGACAGCUUAGAACAAUCCGCCCUCACACUAUCGCCGGUUGGAGGGCCGGGGAGAUCACUCAGCAGCUCCACUUAGGCUGCCAGGCACUUCAAUGCGUUGCCAUGACUCUGGGACGCGUUGCCACGGCAGCCGAGGCGGAAGCAUGCUGACGUCACCGGAAGUGACGCGGACGCAGCAGCGGCGGGCGGAAGCGGACACCGGCCCCGGCUCUCCGACGGCGUGAUGGCUGGGCACCUAUUUAGGCUGUGAAAAGAAGGGGCCAGGCUGACAUCACUAACAGUCAUCCAGAAAGGAUUGGUCAUCGAAUAGGAGACAAAAGACCCACUGCAUGGCAAGCAGACUCUGAGUGAAAUGGUCUUACAUUGUCUGGAGAGGCAGAAGAAGAUGUCUCACUGACAGUUGAAGAACCAAUAGUCAUAAAUAAAGACCAAGGUCUUUCCUUGCCACUGUUUCUGGUGAAUGAUGCACUGACUUAAAUCCUCUAGGCCCUUGGGCAUCGGCUAUAGUAGAUGACGUUGAAGGAAUUGUAUCAACAUGAUGGGUAGCAGCAGCUCCAGUGCUAGUAUUUGCUUGCUGCACCUGCUCUUCUCUCGACUGAUCGUCAUGAUCCAUAUUGAUGAACACACUCAAGGUGUACAAAAACUACAGUUUAAUAGUUUUAUUUAUUUACUUAAACCUUUUAAAAAAAAAUCACCAUUCACUGUGGAGUCACAGUAUUAAAAUGACAAAAUGGGUAUAUAGGGGAAUCAAUGCACCUUGUCACCUUCUAAAUAAAAAUAA